Molecule: ribosomal RNA, 492 nt
Filed under: uncultured bacterium
Lineage: Bacteria
Description: partial 16S ribosomal RNA
Rfam family: Bacterial small subunit ribosomal RNA
Source: RNAcentral
AGUGAACGCUGGCGGUAGGCCUAACACAUGCAAGUCGAACGGCAGCACAGUAAGAGCUUGCUCUUACGGGUGGCGAGUGGCGGACGGGUGAGGAAUACAUCGGAAUCUACUUUUUCGUGGGGGAUAACGUAGGGAAACUUACGCUAAUACCGCAUACGACCUACGGGUGAAAGCAGGGGAUCUUCGGACCUUGCGCGAUUGAAUGAGCCGAUGUCGGAUUAGCUAGUUGGCGGGGUAAAGGCCCACCAAGGCGACGAUCCGUCGCUGGUCUGAGAGGAUGAUCAGCCACCCUGGAACUGAGACACGGUCCAGACUCCUACGGGAGGCAGCAGUGGGGAAUAUUGGACAAUGGGCGCAAGCCUGAUCCAGCCAUACCGCGUGGGUGAAGAAGGCCUUCGGGUUGUAAAGCCCUUUUGUUGGGAAAGAAAAGCAGCAGGUUAAUACCCCGCUGUUCUGACGGUACCCAAAGAAUAAGCACCGGCUAACUUCGUG